GGUGAGGCUGCUCGCCUAUUAAAAGGGAACGUGAGCUGGGUUUAGACCGUCGUGAGACAGGUCGGACUUUAUCUGCUGGGAGUGCUGGUUGCCUGAGGGGAAAAGGUCCCCAGUACGAGAGGAACGGGACGUUGUGGCCUCUAGUUAACCGGUUGUCCGACAGGGCAAACGCCGGGCAGCCACGCCGCUGAGGAUAAGGGCUGAAAGCAUCUAAGCCCGAAGCCUCUCCUGAAAAUAGGCAACCAAUCCCCGAAAGGGGGACGAGGGCUCCCAUAGAAGAUGGGUUUGAUGGAGCUGGGGUGUAAGCUGGAAGGUUUCGACCGACCAGCUCAGCCUGCAGCCUCCAACCGCCCAAGGUAUUAGGCCU
This is a non-coding RNA of Candidatus Bathyarchaeota archaeon RBG_13_46_16b, 367 nucleotides long. NCBI's taxonomy places the organism in Archaea, Thermoproteati, Candidatus Bathyarchaeota. The record is from Rfam.